Small nucleolar RNA from Coffea eugenioides, 83 nucleotides. RefSeq annotates it as small nucleolar RNA Z102/R77. The transcript has a single exon. Lineage: Eukaryota; Viridiplantae; Streptophyta; Magnoliopsida; Gentianales; Rubiaceae. The record is from RefSeq and is a predicted model, not a curated record.
GAAUGGGAUGAUGAUGAUUUUUCUAGUUAUUUGAUGGCCAAUUUGAUGGCGAUUUAUCUUGUAUUAGCUCUAGCUGAUCGUUC